This 1261-nucleotide ribosomal RNA is filed under the name Bifidobacterium animalis. RNAcentral's name for it is "bacterial SSU rRNA". It matches the Rfam family "Bacterial small subunit ribosomal RNA", at positions 44 to 1314 of the family's 1533-position model. Lineage: Bacteria; Bacillati; Actinomycetota; Actinomycetes; Bifidobacteriales; Bifidobacteriaceae. The record is from RNAcentral.
GGGYUUACAUGCAGUCGAACGGGAUCCCUGGCAGCUUGCUGUCGGGGUGAGAGUGGCGAACGGGUGAGUAAUGCGUGACCAACCUGCCCUGUGCACCGGAAUAGCUCCUGGAAACGGGUGGUAAUACCGGAUGCUCCGCUCCAUCGCAUGGUGGGGUGGGAAAUGCUUUUGCGGCAUGGGAUGGGGUCGCGUCCUAUCAGCUUGUUGGCGGGGUGAUGGCCCACCAAGGCGUUGACGGGUAGCCGGCCUGAGAGGGUGACCGGCCACAUUGGGACUGAGAUACGGCCCAGACUCCUACGGGAGGCAGCAGUGGGGAAUAUUGCACAAUGGGCGCAAGCCUGAUGCAGCGACGCCGCGUGCGGGAUGGAGGCCUUCGGGUUGUAAACCGCUUUUGUUCAAGGGCAAGGCACGGUUUCGGCCGUGUUGAGUGGAUUGUUCGAAUAAGCACCGGCUAACUACGUGCCAGCAGCCGCGGUAAUACGUAGGGUGCGAGCGUUAUCCGGAUUUAUUGGGCGUAAAGGGCUCGUAGGCGGUUCGUCGCGUCCGGUGUGAAAGUCCAUCGCCUAACGGUGGAUCUGCGCCGGGUACGGGCGGGCUGGAGUGCGGUAGGGGAGACUGGAAUUCCCGGUGUAACGGUGGAAUGUGUAGAUAUCGGGAAGAACACCAAUGGCGAAGGCAGGUCUCUGGGCCGUCACUGACGCUGAGGAGCGAAAGCGUGGGGAGCGAACAGGAUUAGAUACCCUGGUAGUCCACGCCGUAAACGGUGGAUGCUGGAUGUGGGGCCCUUUCCACGGGUCCCGUGUCGGAGCCAACGCGUUAAGCAUCCCGCCUGGGGAGUACGGCCGCAAGGCUAAAACUCAAAGAAAUUGACGGGGGGCCCGCACAAGCGGCGGAGCAUGCGGAUUAAUUCGAUGCAACGCGAAGAACCUUACCUGGGCUUGACAUGUGCCGGAUCGCCGUGGAGACACGGUUUCCCUUCGGGGCCGGUUCACAGGUGGUGCAUGCUCGUCGUCAGCUCGUGUCGUGAGAUGUGUGUUAAGUCCCGCAACGAGCGCAACCCUCGCCGCAUGUGCCAGGCGGGUGAUGCCGGGAACUCAUGUUGGACCGUCGGGUCACUCGGAGGAGGUGGGGAUGACGUCAGAUCAUCAUGCCCUUACGUCAGGCUCACGCAUGCUACAAUGCGCUACACCCGGUGCGACUGGUGACGUGGGGGCGAUCGCUGAAAACCGGUCUCUCAGAUUUCGCGAUACUGCAACAUCCU